UACGUAGGCAGCGAGCGUUGUUCGGAGUUACUGGGCGUAAAGUGUGCGCAGGCGGCAGAGCAAGUCGAGUGUGAAAGCCCCGGGCUUAACUUGGGAAUUGCGCUCGAAACUACUUUGCUGGAGUGUGGCAGAGGAAGGUGGAAUUCCACGUGUAGCGGUGAAAUGCGUAGAGAUGUGGAGGAACACCAAUGGCGAAGGCAGCCUUCUGGGCCAACACUGACGCUCAUGCACGAAAGCGUGGGGAGCAAACAGG
Molecule: ribosomal RNA, 253 nt
Filed under: uncultured bacterium
Lineage: Bacteria
Description: partial 16S ribosomal RNA
Rfam family: Bacterial small subunit ribosomal RNA
Source: RNAcentral